GAUGAAGAACGUAGCGAAAUGCGAUAAGUAAUGUGAAUUGCAGAAUUCAGUGAAUCAUCGAGUCUUUGAACGCACAUUGCGCCCUCUGGUAUUCCGGAGGGCAUGCCUGUCCGAGCGUCAUUGCUGCCCUCAAGCACGGCUUGUGUGUUGGGCUCCGUCCCCCGAUCCCGGGGGACGGGCCCGAAAGGCAGCGGCGGCACCGCGUCCGGUCCUCGAGCGUAUGGGGCUUUGUCACCCGCUCUGUAGGCCCGGCCGGCGCUUGCCGAUCAACCAAAUUUUUAUCCAGGUUGACCUCGGAUCAGGUAGGGAUACCCGCUGAACUUAAGCAUAUCAAUAAGCGGGGA
Molecule: unclassified non-coding RNA, 344 nt
Filed under: soil metagenome
Description: partial contains 5.8S ribosomal RNA, internal transcribed spacer 2, and large subunit ribosomal RNA
Rfam family: 5.8S ribosomal RNA (bases 1-120)
Source: RNAcentral